Molecule: ribosomal RNA, 253 nt
Filed under: uncultured bacterium
Lineage: Bacteria
Description: partial 16S ribosomal RNA
Rfam family: Bacterial small subunit ribosomal RNA
Source: RNAcentral
UACGAAGGGGGCUAGCGUUGUUCGGAUUUACUGGGCGUAAAGCGCACGUAGGCGGAUUGCUAAGUCAGGGGUGAAAUCCCGGAGCUCAACUCCAGAACUGCCUUUGAUACUGGCGAUCUUGAGUCCGGGAGAGGUGAGUGGAACUGCGAGUGUAGAGGUGAAAUUCGUAGAUAUUCGCAAGAACACCAGUGGCGAAGGCGGCUCACUGGCCCGAUACUGACGCUGAGACGCGAAAGCGUGGGGAGCAAACAGG